GCCAGGAAUAGCCCGGCAAGAUCUGCCCGCAGCGCCAGCGCUCCCCCCGCCCCGGGCAGGGCGGGCUGCGGCUCCCGGGCCGCCGCCUCUCCCCCGAGUGCAACACCAGCCCCUCCGCCGCUGCCAGGGCGAUGGUGGUGAUCCUGCCUAAAGAGAGGGAGCGGAAUGACCUGCCUGCAGACAAAUGCGUGAAGCGGACGUCCCUCGGCCGCUGGAAUAUCGCUGUCUGUCCUUACAUAUAAAGAAGCACCGCGAGCCACCUCACUCCUCCAGGCAAGCCCUUAGCAAAGGAGCGACGAGAGCGCCCGGCGGAAUCCGCAGCGGCAGCAAGGGCACCGGGAGGGCUUCCCUCCUUCCCCGCGGUGACUCUCCAGAUCACUCCCUACAUGGCAGGAAAGACACAUGGGACGAUGGACUUCCUUUAUGCACGCCUCUCCAAGGCUUCAGUGCAGCAUAUUUUUCACAAAUGGAUUGAUUAUGAGAGAAACCUUGUGAGUUUCUUUCUCUUUCACAGCCCUAGUAAUGAAAGAAGAAAAUGAAGAUGCUAACCACAUGUUUUUGGAUGUGUGCUGAUUGAGAAUGAGGCCCAGAGAGGAAGAUAAGUAGGCUGGGGAGGGAGGGUUCUAGUGAAACUGUCAGUGGAUUGUAAUUGCCUACAGUUAUUUUUAUCAGAGCAAGUCUCCCUUUAACAUCAAGACUGCAACCUAAAGAAUUUUAGUAUUUAGCCUUUCAAAUCCCUGUCCACUCGCAAGUUGUAUAAGCACAUCUUGAGUAAUUACAAUCGUAGAGAAGGCAACAUCUUGGAUAUACUGUAACAUCCUCUAACUUCCAUUGUUUGACAUCUCCACUGCUCAUUUACACACAGGAUACAGCUCCGCCUUAUCUUGCUCAGUGCUUGCAGGUAUUUCUCUUUACGUUUUGCUUAUGCACUGUUUUGAUUUAAUUUACUUGCAGGAUCAUUUGAUUCUGGUCAAUAGUUCAACCCACUUAACUAGCAAGCAGGGGAAUAAAUGAAACCAUUUUUAACUAACUCAUUCUCAGUCAAGUGGGUUGUCUGGCAAGCCAAGAGUGCAAUAAAUAGAUUUUGUGGCUAUUUACAGACUCAAACACUAGAAAACAGCCAUGUUUCCCAGUGUCAUUACAUAAUUCAGUGUUACAUCCAGAUGAUGAGAUUAUACCUGUGUUUUUAUCUCAGCCAAAAAUGUGGGGUUUUUUGCCCCUGCUAUGAGGUUUCCCAUAAAAAUAAACAGAUUACACCAGAAAUUUGAGGGGGGCUGCUACACUGCAUGAAGAAAAACUUAAGUAUGCAUGUAUACAUAUAUGCAUAUAUACUAUACAGUUAUGUGAUCAUAGUUUCUGUAUGCAGUCAUGUUCUGUCUCAUUCACAGUACCAUAUAUAUAGCUGGAAUAACUUAAUAAGAAGUCAUGGUUGCAGGUCUGGCUUGUUUGUCACUGAGAG
RNAcentral lists this long non-coding RNA (1459 nucleotides) under Melopsittacus undulatus (budgerigar). RNAcentral describes it as "lncRNA (ENSMUNG00000004895.2)". Lineage: Eukaryota; Metazoa; Chordata; Aves; Psittaciformes; Psittaculidae. The record is from RNAcentral.